UACGCAGGGUGCGAGCGUUAAUCGGAAUUACUGGGCGUAAAGCGCACGUAGGCGGCUUUGUAAGUUAGAGGUGAAAGCCCGGGGCUCAACUCCGGAAUUGCCUUUAAGACUGCAUCGCUAGAAUUGUGGAGAGGUAAGUGGAAUUCCGAGUGUAGAGGUGAAAUUCGUAGAUAUUCGGAAGAACACCAGUGGCGAAGGCGACUUACUGGACACAUAUUGACGCUGAGGUGCGAAAGCGUGGGGAGCAAACAGG
This 253-nucleotide ribosomal RNA is filed under the name uncultured bacterium. RNAcentral describes it as "partial 16S ribosomal RNA". It matches the Rfam family "Bacterial small subunit ribosomal RNA", at positions 524 to 776 of the family's 1533-position model. The record is from RNAcentral.